GUAAAGUACUUUCAGUCAGUGAGGAAGGUGGGUAUGUUAAUAGCAUAUUCAUUUUGACGUUUAGCUGCAGAAGAAGCACCGGCUAACUCCGUGCCAGCAGCCGCGGUAAUACGGAGGGUGCGAGCGUUAAUCGGAAUUACUGGGCGUAAAGCGCAUGCAGGUGGUUUGUUAAGUCAGAUGUGAAAGCCCGGGGCUCAACCUCGGAAUUGCAUUUGAAACUGGCAAACUAGAGUACUAUAGAGGGGGUAGAAUUUCAGGUGUAGCGGUGAAAUGCGUAGAGAUCUGAAGGAAUACCGGUGGCGAAGGCGGCCCCCUGGACAGAUACUGACACUCAGAUGCGAAAGCGUGGGGAGCAAACAGGAUUAGAUACCCUGGUAG
This 378-nucleotide ribosomal RNA is filed under the name uncultured bacterium. Its description in RNAcentral is "bacterial SSU rRNA". It matches the Rfam family "Bacterial small subunit ribosomal RNA", at positions 425 to 793 of the family's 1533-position model. The record is from RNAcentral.